Molecule: unclassified non-coding RNA, 220 nt
Filed under: plant metagenome
Description: partial contains small subunit ribosomal RNA and internal transcribed spacer 1
Rfam family: Eukaryotic small subunit ribosomal RNA (bases 1-46)
Source: RNAcentral
AAGUCGUAACAAGGUCUCCGUAGGUGAACCUGCGGAGGGAUCAUUACAGAGUUGCAUGCCCUAACCGGGUAGAUCUCCCACCCUAUGUUGUUAUUACUUUGUUGCCUUGGCGGGCCAUCAGGCUCACGCCCGGCUACCGGCUCACGCUGGUAAGCGCCCGCCAGAGAACCCCGAACCCUGAAUAUUAAGUGUCGUCUGAGUACUAUAUAAUUAGCUAAAA